Molecule: unclassified non-coding RNA, 451 nt
Filed under: Melitaea cinxia (Glanville fritillary)
Lineage: Eukaryota; Metazoa; Arthropoda; Insecta; Lepidoptera; Nymphalidae
Description: misc RNA ENSMCXG00005004928.1
Source: RNAcentral
CGAGCCGGCCGCGCGUCGCCGCCGCUGUUUUCGAGGCCCCGAUCAUCGAUAUCGAGCCAGAAAGACUCGAGCACAUCAAGGCACAGAUACUUACCAAGCUGGGCCUUUCAGCGAGGCCAACGCCCCAGGGCGCUCCUCCACGUGACGUUGUGAGACAGAUACUGGCCCGGGCGGCCGACCCGCACCACGAGCGCCCCCCGGAACACGAGAACAGCAUGAGAGAAAUAAUUGCGAUAGCUCAUAGAGGUGACCGUAAGACCUUCAUUUUCUUAACUUUAAGAUGUCUAAAAAGAGUACCUAAUAUUAGUUUAAAAAGUGCCUGUGUGUGUGUGCGUGCGUGCAUGUGUAUGUGUCUGUGUGUGUGAAUUACACAGAACAGAAACAGCAGAAGUGAAACUUUUGUAAAGUCGUAGGAAUUUGUAGUAUCGACGAUGAUUACAGUCUCGCGAAA